GGUGGCUCAGUGGUAGAGUUCUUGCCUUGCAUGCAUGAGACCUUGGGUUUGAUUCCUCAGCACCA
RNAcentral lists this transfer RNA (65 nucleotides) under Dipodomys ordii (Ord's kangaroo rat). It matches the Rfam family "tRNA". Rfam says of the family: Transfer RNA (tRNA) molecules are approximately 80 nucleotides in length. Their secondary structure includes four short double-helical elements and three loops (D, anti-codon, and T loops). Lineage: Eukaryota; Metazoa; Chordata; Mammalia; Rodentia; Heteromyidae. The record is from Rfam by way of RNAcentral.